ACCGGUGGUUAUUGCGAAGGGGGUAUACCCGUUCCCAUCCCGAACACGGUAGUCAAGCCCUUAAGCCCUGACGAUACUUUGGGGGCAGCCCCACGGGAAAAUAAGACACCGCCGUUU
Molecule: ribosomal RNA, 117 nt
Organism: Ktedonobacter racemifer DSM 44963
Lineage: Bacteria; Bacillati; Chloroflexota; Ktedonobacteria; Ktedonobacterales; Ktedonobacteraceae
Source: Rfam